GCAGCCUGAUCCAGCCAUGCCGCGUGCAGGAUGACGGUCCUAUGGAUUGUAAACUGCUUUUAUACAGGAAGAAACCCUGGUUCGUGAACCAGCUUGACGGUACUGUAAGAAUAAGGAUCGGCUAACUCCGUGCCAGCAGCCGCGGUAAUACGGAGGAUCCAAGCGUUAUCCGGAAUCAUUGGGUUUAAAGGGUCCGUAGGCGGUUUAGUAAGUCAGUGGUGAAAGCCCAUCGCUCAACGGUGGAACGGCCAUUGAUACUGCUAAACUUGAAUUAUUAGGAAGUAACUAGAAUAUGUAGUGUAGCGGUGAAAUGCUUAGAGAUUACAUGGAAUACCAAUUGCGAAGGCAGGUUACUACUAAUUGAUUGACGCUGAUGGACGAAAGCGUGGGUAGCGAACAGGAUUAGAUACCCUGGUAGUCCACGCCGUAAACGAUGGAUACUAGCUGUUGGGGGCAACUUCAGUGGCUAAGCGAAAGUGAUAAGUAUCCCACCUGGGGAGUACGUUCGCAAGAAUGAAACUCAAAGGAAUUGACGGGGGCCCGCACAAGCGGUGGAGCAUGUGGUUUAAUUCGAUGAUACGCGAGGAACCUUACCAAGGCUUAAAUGUAGUUUGACCGAUUUGGAAACAGAUUUUUC
RNAcentral lists this ribosomal RNA (637 nucleotides) under Flavobacterium sp. Ri1Pw_5737. RNAcentral describes it as "bacterial SSU rRNA". It matches the Rfam family "Bacterial small subunit ribosomal RNA", at positions 378 to 1016 of the family's 1533-position model. Lineage: Bacteria; Pseudomonadati; Bacteroidota; Flavobacteriia; Flavobacteriales; Flavobacteriaceae. The record is from RNAcentral.